Molecule: ribosomal RNA, 31 nt
Filed under: Astrothelium macrocarpum
Lineage: Eukaryota; Fungi; Ascomycota; Dothideomycetes; Trypetheliales; Trypetheliaceae
Description: partial 28S ribosomal RNA
Source: RNAcentral
CUGAACUUAAGCAUAUCAUAAGCCGGGAGGA